This 269-nucleotide ribosomal RNA is filed under the name uncultured prokaryote. RNAcentral describes it as "partial 16S ribosomal RNA". It matches the Rfam family "Bacterial small subunit ribosomal RNA", at positions 524 to 792 of the family's 1533-position model. The record is from RNAcentral.
UACGGGGGGAGCGAGCGUUAUUCGGAAUCAUUGGGCGUAAAGAGUUCGUAGGCGGUCAGAAUAGUCAGAGGUGAAAUCUAACGGCUUAACCGUUAAAUUGCCUUUGAAACUCUCUGACUUGAGUACGUGAGAGGAAAGCGGAAUUCUUGGUGUAGCGGUGAAAUGCGUGGAUAUCAAGAGGAACACCCGUGGCGAAAGCGGCUUUCUGGCACGAUACUGACGCUGAGGAACGAAAGCCAGGGGAGCAAACGGGAUUAGAUACCCCAGUA